GAUGAACGCUGGCGGCGUGCCUAAUACAUGCAAGUCGAGCGAACAGAUAAGGAGCUUGCUCCUUUGACGUUAGCGGCGGACGGGUGAGUAACACGUGGGUAACCUACCUAUAAGACUGGGAUAACUUCGGGAAACCGGAGCUAAUACCGGAUAAUAUUUCGAACCGCAUGGUUCGAUAGUGAAAGAUGGUUUUGCUAUCACUUAUAGAUGGACCCGCGCCGUAUUAGCUAGUUGGUAAGGUAACGGCUUACCAAGGCGACGAUACGUAGCCGACCUGAGAGGGUGAUCGGCCACACUGGAACUGAGACACGGUCCAGACUCCUACGGGAGGCAGCAGUAGGGAAUCUUCCGCAAUGGGCGAAAGCCUGACGGAGCAACGCCGCGUGAGUGAUGAAGGUCUUCGGAUCGUAAAACUCUGUUAUUAGGGAAGAACAUACGUGUAAGUAACUGUGCACGUCUUGACGGUACCUAAUCAGAGAGCCACGGCUAACUACGUG
This 497-nucleotide ribosomal RNA is filed under the name uncultured bacterium. RNAcentral's name for it is "partial 16S ribosomal RNA". It matches the Rfam family "Bacterial small subunit ribosomal RNA", at positions 28 to 507 of the family's 1533-position model. The record is from RNAcentral.